RNAcentral lists this ribosomal RNA (744 nucleotides) under Triticum aestivum (bread wheat). RNAcentral's name for it is "partial small subunit ribosomal RNA". The record is from RNAcentral. Lineage: Eukaryota; Viridiplantae; Streptophyta; Magnoliopsida; Poales; Poaceae.
AUGUUUGGGUGUCAAGUGGGCACACUUCCCAUGAAAUAUCUGGGAGUCCCUGUUACUUAUUCUACCCUCAAGAAUGCGGAUCUAGAUUUCCUUGACGGAAAAAUGAUCAAAAAACUUGAUGCCUGGGUAGCAUAUGCAGCAUCUUCUGGAGCUAGACUAACGUUGCUAGGGUCCAGUUUGGAUGGAAUUCCCUCUUUCCUCAUGUCAAUGUUCCUUUUUAAUAAGACCUUUAUUGAGAAGCUGGAUAAACAUCGCAGACGUUUCUUUUGGAGGAGGAAAAAUAAGAAACAUGGAUACCAUAUGGUUAAGUGGACGAGGAUAUGUUGAUCGAAAAGGAUUGGGGGAUUAGGGAUUAAAGAUCUUCAUAAACAAAAUAUUGCCCUACUUGUUAAGUGGUGGUGGAAGUUAGAAACAAGUGAUGGGCUAUGGCAGCGUACUGUAAGAGCUAGAUACUUCAGGAACAAAACAGUGGCUACCAUUCGGAGCCGCUUUUCAGACUCUCCCUGCUGGAAAGCAAUUAUGAAGGUCAAGGAUUCUUAUAUGGCAGGAAGAAAAGUUAAAAUCGAAAGUGGAAACCUGGCUAGGAUCUGGUAUGAUCCGUGGGCUGAGAAUAUUGCGUUGAAAGAUCACUUUCCUGAUCUAUUUGGUAUUUGCCAGGAGCAGAAAUGCACGGUUGCAUCUUGGGUGACUAACAACUAUGAGCUGGGCUUUAGACGUAGACUGGUUGGGGUGUUGGGUGAGCAG